CUACGGGUUGCUGCAGUGAGGAAUAUUGCACAAUGGGGGGAACCCUGAUGCAGCAACGCCGCGUGGAGGAUGACGCAUUUCGGUGUGUAAACUCCUUUUAUAUGUCAAGAAAAUGACGGUAGCAUAUGAAUAAGCACCGGCUAACUCCGUGCCAGCAGCCGCGGUAAUACGUGAGGGUGCAAGCGUUACUCGGAAUCACUGGGCGUAAAGGACGCGUAGGCGGGUUGGAAAGUCAGGUGUGAAAUCCUACAGCUUAACUGUAGAACUGCACUUGAAACUUCUAAUCUAGAGUAUGGGAGGGGGAGAUGGAAUUAGUGGUGUAGGGGUAAAAUCCGUAGAUAUCACUAGGAAUACCUAAAGCGAAGGCGAUCUCCUGGAACAUUACUGACGCUAAGGCGUGAAAGCGUGGGGAGCAAACAGGAUUAGAUACCCGGGUAGUC
RNAcentral lists this ribosomal RNA (440 nucleotides) under uncultured bacterium. RNAcentral's name for it is "partial 16S ribosomal RNA". It matches the Rfam family "Bacterial small subunit ribosomal RNA", at positions 339 to 795 of the family's 1533-position model. The record is from RNAcentral.